CCUACGGGCGGCAGCAGUGGGGAAUAUUGGGCAAUGGGCGCAAGCCUGACCCAGCAACGCCGCGUGAAGGAAGAAGGCUUUCGGGUUGUAAACUUCUUUUCUCAGGGACGAAGCAAGUGACGGUACCUGAGGAAUAAGCCACGGCUAACUACGUGCCAGCAGCCGCGGUAAUACGUAGGUGGCAAGCGUUAUCCGGAUUUACUGGGUGUAAAGGGCGUGUAGGCGGGGACGCAAGUUGGGUGUCAAAUCUACCGGCUCAACCGGUAGCCGCACUCAAAACUGCAGUUCUUGAGUGAAGUAGAGGCAGGCGGAAUUCCUAGUGUAGCGGUGAAAUGCGUAGAUAUUAGGAGGAACACCAGUGGCGAAGGCGGCCUGCUGGGCUUUUACUGACGCUGAGGCUCGAAAGUGUGGGGAGCAAACAGGAUUAGAUACCCCUGUAGUC
Molecule: ribosomal RNA, 442 nt
Filed under: uncultured bacterium
Lineage: Bacteria
Description: partial 16S ribosomal RNA
Rfam family: Bacterial small subunit ribosomal RNA
Source: RNAcentral